This 29-nucleotide non-coding RNA is filed under the name Rattus norvegicus (Norway rat). Lineage: Eukaryota; Metazoa; Chordata; Mammalia; Rodentia; Muridae. The record is from RNAcentral.
UCAGGGCAGCUAGCUCUUUCUACAUACCC